This 449-nucleotide ribosomal RNA is filed under the name uncultured bacterium. RNAcentral's name for it is "partial 16S ribosomal RNA". It matches the Rfam family "Bacterial small subunit ribosomal RNA", at positions 329 to 795 of the family's 1533-position model. The record is from RNAcentral.
GUCCAGACUCCUACGGGAGGCAGCAGUGGGGAAUAUUGCACAAUGGGGGAAACCCUGAUGCAGCGACGCCGCGUGAAGGGAGAAGUAUUUCGGUAUGUAAACUUCUAUCAGCAGGGAAGAAAAUGACGGUACCUGACUAAGAAGCCCCGGCUAACUACGUGCCAGCAGCCGCGGUAAUACGUAGGGGGCAAGCGUUAUCCGGAUUUACUGGGUGUAAAGGGGGCGCAGACGGCAGCGCAAGCCAGGAGUGAAAGCCCGGGGCCCAACCCCGGGACUGCUCUUGGAACUGCGCGGCUGGAGUGCAGGAGGGGCAGGCGGAAUUCCUGGUGUAGCGGUGAAAUGCGUAGAUAUCAGGAGGAACACCGGUGGCGAAGGCGGCCUGCUGGACUGCGACUGACGUUGAGGCCCGAAAGCGUGGGGAGCAAACAGGAUUAGAUACCCCAGUAUCA